UACAGGGGGUGCAAACGUUGCUCGGAAUCAUUGGGCGUAAAGCGCACGUAGGCGGGUCUGUUAUGUCGGAUGUGAAAGCCCUUGGCUUAACUGAGGAAGUGCAUCCGAAACUGGCAGGCUAGAGUACUAAAGAGGGUCGCGGAAUUCCCGGUGUAGAGGUGAAAUUCGUAGAUAUCGGGAGGAACACCGGUGGCGAAGGCGGCGACCUGGGUAGAUACUGACGCGUGAGGUGCGAAAGCGGUGGGGAGCAAACAGG
RNAcentral lists this ribosomal RNA (256 nucleotides) under uncultured bacterium. RNAcentral's name for it is "partial 16S ribosomal RNA". It matches the Rfam family "Bacterial small subunit ribosomal RNA", at positions 524 to 776 of the family's 1533-position model. The record is from RNAcentral.